Long non-coding RNA from Vidua chalybeata, 835 nucleotides. RefSeq lists it as uncharacterized. The transcript is spliced from 2 exons. Lineage: Eukaryota; Metazoa; Chordata; Aves; Passeriformes; Viduidae. The record is from RefSeq and is a predicted model, not a curated record.
CCGCUCCGCCAUCGCGCCGCUGGGACUACAACUCCCGGCGUGCCCCAGGGCAGCGGCGCACGGAGCGCGCUGAUUGGCCCGCGGGGGCAGCGCGGGCGCCCCCACGUGGCGGCUCGGCGGGGCCGGGACCCCCUGGGAUAACCCGGGACAAGCCGGGACAAGCCGGGACAAGCCGGGACAAACCGAAACAGCUGGGCUGCCCCCCGCUGCCGUGCCACGGGCCUCGCCCGGGCUACCUUGAGGGACCCCGUGCUGAGUCUGGUGGCUGGGAACGGGGCCAGCUGCUGCGAUCCUCCCCUCCCCUCCCCUGGAAAUGCCUCAAAGACCAGCAAAUUUGUGGUAUGGUGUGCUCGGUCCUGUGCUGGCCAAUGUUUGGUAAUUAGCAUGUGAAAACCCAAUUUGAUUUGACCAGUGUGUCCUGGAGUUGCAGCUCCUUUCGUCCAUCCUGCCAUCCCACUCUUCUGUGCUCUCAACAGAAGCAUGAAAAGCUUGUGCCAGGCAGCACAGACCUGGGCAAUGCACCUGUGCACAGUGCCACAUGUGUCCCUGUCCCCCAACACAGCCUGGCAAAUGCUGUGACAUCAAUGGCAAGGUAGCUAAACAUCAGCCAACACCUGCAGAGAAUGGGGGUCACAGGUCUCUUGUGAGGAUGUGCUGGAACACGAUGGGAAUGUUAACAAAGUUCCUGGAAUCUUCAUGGAGAGGAACUGUAAAGGACAGCAUCCCUCACAGAGCAACUGAACUGAAAUUACAGGUGAUUAACCUUUCAUUUAUUCCCUGAUUUAUGGUAUAACACAAGUUUUUGGAAGUGAAAUAAAGAUGCUUUUUAAAUGAA